GGAAAGUCCGAAGGUGAUUAUAAUGCAUAAAGUGCAUUAAAGAAAGGUCCGCGAGAGCACCAGUGCAAAAAUCUGCACUGGAGCAGAAAUGCUCUCGGGGACCGGUCCCUGGCAGGGAGGGACCGGUCCCAUCAGGCUGGGCUGCGGGGGUCUCUGAUGAGACCGGUCCCUGGCAGUGAGGGACCGGUUCCCGAACGUUGGCCCAGCGAAAACAGCCGAAAUUUGGCUAAGUCCCGAAAAUCUACCUCUCGGGAACUGGUCUCUCGGACAAGGACCGGUCUCCCAGGGACCGGUCUCUCAGGCAAGGACCG
This 311-nucleotide long non-coding RNA is filed under the name Ananas comosus (pineapple). RNAcentral's name for it is "long non-coding RNA (ACOM_LNC042526)". The record is from RNAcentral. Lineage: Eukaryota; Viridiplantae; Streptophyta; Magnoliopsida; Poales; Bromeliaceae.